This 429-nucleotide unclassified non-coding RNA is filed under the name soil metagenome. RNAcentral's name for it is "partial contains 5.8S ribosomal RNA, internal transcribed spacer 2, and large subunit ribosomal RNA". The stretch from base 1 to 120 matches the Rfam family "5.8S ribosomal RNA", at positions 35 to 154 of the family's 154-position model. The record is from RNAcentral.
GAUGAAGAACGCAGCGAAAUGCGAUACGUAAUGUGAAUUGCAGAAUUCAGUGAAUCAUCGAAUCUUUGAACGCAUAUUGCGCUCUUUGGUAUUCCGAAGAGCAUGCUUGUUUGAGUAUCAGUAAACACCUCAAAGACUUCAAUUUGUUUUGAAUGGCUUUGGACUUGAGCAAUCCCAACACCAGUCUUUACGAUCGGUGGAGGGUUGCUUGAAAUGCAGGUGCAGCUGGACAUUCUCCUGAGCUAAAAGCAUAUUUAUUUAGUCCCGUCAAACGGAUUAUUACUUUUGCUGCAGCUAACAUAAAGGGAGUUUGACCGUAUUGGCUGACUAAUGCAGGAUUUCACAAGGGUCGGCAACGAUUCUUGUAAAACUCGAUCUCAAAUCAAGUAAGACUACCCGCUGAACUUAAGCAUAUCAAUAAGCGGAGGA